RNAcentral lists this small RNA (500 nucleotides) under Pan troglodytes (chimpanzee). Its description in RNAcentral is "processed transcript". Lineage: Eukaryota; Metazoa; Chordata; Mammalia; Primates; Hominidae. The record is from RNAcentral.
CCGUUUUCUCCUUCCUCCCCCAGCCUGUCUUGUCCCAUCCCUGCCCCUCCACAGAGUGCUAGAGAUGACCCCCUCCCCAGACUUCUCCCUCCCUCAAUUAGAAAAAUUGCAGCAGGUCAUCAGACCCAUGGGCAGCCUCACCUGUCCUGGUCUGGUCCCCUGAGCCCUCUCUGAGUUCUCACCUCCUCUUCCCAGACCAGGGCAGCCCCUUUGCCCAGGAGCUGCUGGAUGAUGGUCAGCAAGCCAGCCCCUACCACCCCGGCAGCUGUGGCGCAGGAGCCCCCUCCCCUGGCAGCUCUGACGUCUCCACCGCAGGGACUGGUGCUUCUCAGAGCUCCCACUCCUCAGACUCCGGUGGAAGUGACGUGGACCUGGAUCCCACUGAUGGCAAGCUCUUCCCCAGCGAUGGUUUUCGUGACUGCAAGAAGGGGGAUCCCAAGCACGGGAAGCGGAAACGAGGCCGGCCCCGAAAGCUGAGCAAAGAGUACUGGGACUGUCUC